Molecule: ribosomal RNA, 89 nt
Filed under: Orius nagaii
Lineage: Eukaryota; Metazoa; Arthropoda; Insecta; Hemiptera; Anthocoridae
Also listed under: 2 other names
Description: partial 5.8S ribosomal RNA
Rfam family: 5.8S ribosomal RNA
About the family: 5.8S ribosomal RNA (5.8S rRNA) is a component of the large subunit of the eukaryotic ribosome. It is transcribed by RNA polymerase I as part of the 45S precursor that also contains 18S and 28S rRNA.
Source: RNAcentral
UACCCUGAGCGGCGGAUCACUCGGCUCGUAGGUCGAUGAAAGACGCAGCAAACUGCGCGUCGCCAUGUGAACUGCAGGACACAUGAACA